GAACGCUGGCGGCGUGCUUAACACAUGCAAGUCGAGCGGAAAGGCCCUUCGGGGUACUCGAGCGGCGAACGGGUGAGUAACACGUGAGCAACCUGCCCCAGGCUUUGGGAUAACCCCGGGAAACCGGGGCUAAUACCGGAUAUGACCUUGCAUCGCAUGGUGUUUGGUGGAAAGUUUUUCGGCUUGGGAUGGGCUCGCGGCCUAUCAGCUUGUUGGUGGGGUGAUGGCCUACCAAGGCGACGACGGGUAGCCGGCCUGAGAGGGCGACCGGCCACACUGGGACUGAGACACGGCCCAGACUCCUACGGGAGGCAGCAGUGGGGAAUAUUGCACAAUGGGCGGAAGCCUGAUGCAGCGACGCCGCGUGAGGGAUGACGGCCUUCGGGUUGUAAACCUCUUUCAGCAGGGACGAAGCGUAAGUGACGGUACCUGCAGAAGAAGCGCCGGCCAACUACGUGCCAGCAGCCGCGGUAAGACGUAGGGCGCGAGCGUUGUCCGGAUUUAUUGGGCGUAAAGAGCUCGUAGGCGGC
Molecule: ribosomal RNA, 530 nt
Filed under: Micromonospora chalcea
Lineage: Bacteria; Bacillati; Actinomycetota; Actinomycetes; Micromonosporales; Micromonosporaceae
Description: bacterial SSU rRNA
Rfam family: Bacterial small subunit ribosomal RNA
Source: RNAcentral